UCCGGCUUAUCACCGGCGGUUUCUUUAGAGUGCCCAACUAAAUGAUGGCAACUAAAGACGAGGGUUGCGCUCGUUGCGGGACUUAACCCAACAUCUCACGACACGAGCUGACGACAGCCAUGCAGCACCUGUGCUCCUCCCACCCGAAGUGAAGGGAAUCAUCUCUGACUCCCAUAGAGGGCAUGUCAAGGCCUGGUAAGGUUCUUCGCGUUGCCUCGAAUUAAACCACAUGUUCCACCGCUUGUGCGGGUCCCCGUCAAUUCCUUUGAGUUUUAAUCUUGCGACCGUACUCCCCAGGCGGGAUGUUUAACGCGUUAGCUACGCCACUGAGAGGUAACCCCCCAACGGCUAACAUCCAUCGUUUACAGCGUGGACUAC
This 378-nucleotide unclassified non-coding RNA is filed under the name uncultured Alphaproteobacteria bacterium. RNAcentral describes it as "contains 16S-23S intergenic spacer region". The record is from RNAcentral. Lineage: Bacteria; Pseudomonadati; Pseudomonadota; Alphaproteobacteria.